CACCUCUGAAAGUACUAAGGAAGUUCCCUCCCAGUGCCUACCGAGGCAGGGUGGGGCGGUUCUGUGGCAUGGAAAGAACCUGGAAAACCACAUAGUCCCAGCAUAAAGUGCCUUUGCGAUUCCGGGAGGGGGGAGGGAUGGUGAGAUGAAGACACCAGGUCCGGUACCCUGAGGUUCCGGGUGUCCUGGAGGGAGAACUCUUGAGAUAACCUGCUCCGUGAAGCCACCUUACUUUGUCCUGGUCUGUCUUCCCCUGUGCAGCGGCUGCAUAGGGACGUCCUUCUCGGAGGAGUCCCCGAAAUAAGAUGGGCUAUCCUCGCUCUAGAUCGGAGCGGGCGAGUUCCUCCCGCUGCCCCGCCACUGCGGUUUGCGGAGGUCUAGGGAGUUUCAUCCCGUCCUCCGUCCUCAGCCUUCACCUUGGAAAACAGUUUCCCAAGCGUCCACAUUAAAAGUGCGCGACUUCUCGAGGCCUGCAGAAGGAGCUCCUGCAGCCCGGCAUUCCUCGGAUUCCAGCGCUGUGACGUCCCCAAGGCCGGCGCGCCUCCCGCCGGGGACCUCCGGCUCCACGCGCAGCCGCUCCCCCCGCCCCGGCGCGCUCCCGGCC
RNAcentral lists this long non-coding RNA (604 nucleotides) under Equus caballus (horse). Its description in RNAcentral is "lncRNA (ENSECAG00000055401.1)". Lineage: Eukaryota; Metazoa; Chordata; Mammalia; Perissodactyla; Equidae. The record is from RNAcentral.